GAUGAAGAACGUAGCGAAAUGCGAUAAGUAAUGUGAAUUGCAGAAUUCAGUGAAUCAUCGAAUCUUUGAACGCACAUUGCGCCCGCCAGUAUUCUGGCGGGCAUGCCUGUUCGAGCGUCAUUUCAACCAUCAAGCCCCAGGCUUGUGUUGGGGACCUGCGGCUGCCGCAGGCCCUGAAAACCAGUGGCGGGCUCGCUGUCACACCGGGCGUAGUAGAUUUUAUCUCGCUCAGGGCGUGCUGCGGGUUCCGGCCGUUAAAAAGCCUUUUUUACCCAAGGUUGACCUCGGAUCAGGUAGGAAGACCCGCUGAACUUAAGCAUAUCAAUAGGCAGAGGA
Molecule: unclassified non-coding RNA, 336 nt
Filed under: soil metagenome
Description: partial contains 5.8S ribosomal RNA, internal transcribed spacer 2, and large subunit ribosomal RNA
Rfam family: 5.8S ribosomal RNA (bases 1-120)
Source: RNAcentral